Molecule: transfer RNA, 76 nt
Filed under: Acidovorax sp. SUPP2522
Lineage: Bacteria; Pseudomonadati; Pseudomonadota; Betaproteobacteria; Burkholderiales; Comamonadaceae
Also listed under: 1 other name
Description: tRNA-Lys
Rfam family: tRNA
About the family: Transfer RNA (tRNA) molecules are approximately 80 nucleotides in length. Their secondary structure includes four short double-helical elements and three loops (D, anti-codon, and T loops).
Source: RNAcentral
GGGUUCUUAGCUCAGUUGGUAGAGCAGCGGACUCUUAAUCCGUAGGUCGAGUGUUCGAGUCACUCAGGGCCCACCA